RNAcentral lists this ribosomal RNA (785 nucleotides) under uncultured bacterium. Its description in RNAcentral is "bacterial SSU rRNA". It matches the Rfam family "Bacterial small subunit ribosomal RNA", at positions 8 to 796 of the family's 1533-position model. The record is from RNAcentral.
AGAGUUUGAUCCUGGCUCAGGAUGAACGCUGGCGGCGUGCUUAACACAUGCAAGUCGAACGAUGAACCUCACUUGUGGGGGGAUUAGUGGCGAACGGGUGAGUAACACGUGAGUAACCUGCCCUUAACUCUGGGAUAAGCCUGGGAAACUGGGUCUAAUACCGGAUAUGACUCCUCAUCGCAUGGUGGGGGGUGGAAAGCUUUAUUGUGGUUUUGGAUGGACUCGCGGCCUAUCAGCUUGUUGGUGAGGUAAUGGCUCACCAAGGCGACGACGGGUAGCCGGACUGAGAGGUCGAUCGGCCACACUGGAACUGAGACACGGUCCAGACUCCUACGGGAGGCAGCAGUGGGGAAUUUUGCGCAAUGGGCGAAAGCCUGACGCAGCGACGCCGCGUGGGGGAAGAAGGCCUUCGGGUUGUAAACCCCUUUCGUGAGGGAAAAAGUCCCGGGCAACCGGGAUGAUGGUACCUCAGGAAGAAGCCACGGCUAACUCUGUGCCAGCAGCCGCGGUAAGACAGAGGUGGCAAGCGUUGUUCGGAUUUACUGGGCUUAAAGGGCGUGUAGGCGUCCUGAUAAGUCAGAUGUGGAAGCCUUGGGCUUAACCCGAGAAUUGCAUUUGAAACUGUCAGGAUUGAGUCGUGCACGGGAGGGCGGAAUUCCUGGUGUAGCGGUGAAAUGCGUAGAUAUCAGGAGGAAGGCCGGUGGUGAAGAUGGCCCUCUGGGCAAUGACUGACGCUGAGGCGCGAAAGCGUGGGUAGCAAACAGGAUUAGAUACCCUGGUAGUCC